RNAcentral lists this long non-coding RNA (2251 nucleotides) under Sus scrofa (pig). RNAcentral's name for it is "lncRNA (ENSSSCG00060052614.1)". The stretch from base 262 to 333 matches the Rfam family "tRNA". Lineage: Eukaryota; Metazoa; Chordata; Mammalia; Artiodactyla; Suidae. The record is from RNAcentral.
GCUCUCGGAGAAAGAGCGUGGGUAUGAGUCAUACGCAAAGGACCGUGGGACGCAGAAAUUGGCAAUGCACAAAAAGGGACAAUGGCCUUCUAAGUAGAGAAUUACUGGCCUCAAAGUAAUGGCCGCUCAGCUUGCUUUAAGUUCUUCUGACUCUUCUAGAUCCACCUUUUACGUCUCAUUCCCCAUCAACAUACAAACCAAUGGGAGUCGAACAUUUCUCCCUCUAUAUCAAAAAAAAAAAAAAAAAAAAAAAGAGGGAGUUCCCGAGUGGUCCAGUGGUUAGGACUUAAUGUUUUUACUGCUGCGACCUGGGUUCAACCCCUGGUCUGGGAACUGAGAUCCCACAUCAAGCUGCUGCAUGCUACAGCCAAAAUAUAUAUAUAUACGAGUACAAGAAACUACAGGGAAAAAAAAGGAAUUUGAUAAAUACCUAUCUUGGAUGUAUCAUUUAAACUGCUCUGGCUUUUUUCAGAAAACUUAGCAAAGUUAAAAACGAGUGUAUCCAAGUGAGGCUCCCACCCUCCCCCAGAGACCAGCAGAAGGGGCUCUGUCCUCAGAUGUUGCUGGAAUGACCUGUAAAUUCCUUUGGCAGCCUUGAGUUUUCUCAGGAAGGCACUUUGAGCAGGGCCUGGGGUCAGCCUAAGGCAGUGGCCUUGAGCUCUUAGAAACGAUGUUAGUGUUUGUUCAAGUCUUUUUUUUUUUUUUUUUCCUUUGGCUUUUUAGGGCCAUACUGCAGCAUAUGGAAGUUCCCAAUUGGAGCUGCAGCUGCUGGCCUACACCACAGCUCACGGCAACGCUGAAUCCUUGACCAGAUCGAAAGUGUAUCCUUAUGGAUACUAGCCAGGUUUGUUUCCACCGAGCCACAGGGGGAACCCCAGAUGCGUUGUCUUGUCUCUGAUGACUUUCCAGGUUCAGGUCCAGGUCCCCGUCCUUUAAGGGACCCACAUCUAUUGUGUUGUUCUUGGGAUCCCUGAGAUGCCUCUGUCUCCUUCUUUAAGCAAAUUGUCUGGAAUUCUGUCCUCAAAAGAAUCCAAUCCCUAACUAGGACAACAAAAUCACAUUACCUGCACCAACACAGGCCACAUACUUGUCGUUCUUACUGGUUCAGUGGCCAUUCCUUCAUGUUAAUAUCUCAUACGCUAUUUUGCAAUGACUUGGGUCAUUUCCAGUUGUUAAUGCUUAUGGAUAGACCUACAAGGAACAUAUGAAAGAGUUAUUUUUCCUCCUUAAAUAAGGUCAAAAGGUGUGCUGAGUUUAGAGCUCUCGUUAGAUUGCUGCCGGAUUCCUCUCUGGCUGAAGUGCCACCAGCCACAUUUCAGGGCUUCAGCUUUCCCACAGCCCCCUCUAAACAGUUUCAUUUUUAUUUAUUUUGGUUUGUGUAAAGAUGCCUUGGAAUGGUUUCAUUGUUAUUUUAAAAUUGCUGAUGUGGUUUGAUGAGAACUAAUUUAGAUAACAUGUACCCAGACCCUAACACAGAGCCUGGCAUAUAGUAAGCUAUUAUUAUUGUUGUUGUUCUCAUCCUCACCUACUUGAGAUUUUCUUUAUGUGUUUGUGGCAAGGGUUGUUUCUCCUUUUAGCUACAAAACAGGUCCUUCCCAGUCUGCGUGCUGCCUCCUGGCUCCAGCCUCUGGUCUCGUCUCUUUUCUCACACUGGCAGUGAGUUCAUCAAGGCUCAUGUCUUUUCUCUUCUCUGUCCUUUUCUUUUUUAUGCCCACGCCUACAGCACAUGGAGGUUUCCAGGCUAGGGGUUGAAUUGGAGCUGCAGCCAGUCUACACCACAGCCACUCAGUGUUGGAAUCCGAGCCACAUCUGCGACCUAUAGCGCAGCUCACAAAACGCUGGAUCCUCAACCCACUGAGUGUGCGAGGCCAGGGAUGGAACCCGCAUCUUCAUGGAUACUAGUCAGGCUCCUAACCCACUGAGCCACAACGGGAGCUCCUGGGCUCAUGUCUUUAAUACCACCUCUAUGCUGGCAGCUCACGUCCAUACCUGGAGUCUAGUCCUCUCUCCUCUACUCCACGCAUGUCUCACUGCCUAUUCAACAGCUCCACUCGGAUGUGGCAUCUCAAAUCCAGCCCCUACACCUGACUUCCUGCUCCCACAUCUCAUCGAAUGGCAACACCAUCCUCCCAGGUGCUCAAGUUAAAACCUUUGCAUCUUCCUUGACUCCAAUUUUUCUCUCACACUCCACAUCCAGUCUCUAAAUCCCCUGAGCACUAUCUUCAAAAUAUACCCAGAACUGGCCCUAGAA